ACCUUCUGUGGUGUAGUUGGUAUCACCUUGGCACAGUAAGUAUGUGUCCUAGGUUCAAUUCCUAGUCAGGGCA
Non-coding RNA from Halocaridina rubra (Hawaiian volcano shrimp), 73 nucleotides. The record is from the annotation of a GenBank genome assembly. NCBI's taxonomy places the organism in Eukaryota, Metazoa, Arthropoda, Malacostraca, Decapoda, Atyidae.